UGGGGAAUAUUGGACAAUGGGCGAAAGCCUGAUCCAGCCAUGCCGCGUGUGUGAAGAAGGUCUUCGGAUUGUAAAGCACUUUAAGUUGGGAGGAAGGGCAUUAACCUAAUACGUUAGUGUUUUGACGUUACCGACAGAAUAAGCACCGGCUAACUCUGUGCCAGCAGCCGCGGUAAUACAGAGGGUGCAAGCGUUAAUCGGAAUUACUGGGCGUAAAGCGCGCGUAGGUGGUUUGUUAAGUUGGAUGUGAAAUCCCCGGGCUCAACCUGGGAACUGCAUUCAAAACUGACUGACUAGAGUAUGGUAGAGGGUGGUGGAAUUUCCUGUGUAGCGGUGAAAAGCGUAGAUAUAAGAAGGAACACCAGUGGCGAAGGCGACCACCUGGACUAAUACUGACACUGAGGUGCGAAAGCGUGGGGAGCAAACA
This 427-nucleotide ribosomal RNA is filed under the name uncultured bacterium. Its description in RNAcentral is "partial 16S ribosomal RNA". It matches the Rfam family "Bacterial small subunit ribosomal RNA", at positions 355 to 774 of the family's 1533-position model. The record is from RNAcentral.